Molecule: ribosomal RNA, 497 nt
Filed under: Candidatus Omnitrophota bacterium
Lineage: Bacteria; Pseudomonadati; Candidatus Omnitrophota
Description: bacterial LSU rRNA
Rfam family: Bacterial large subunit ribosomal RNA
Source: RNAcentral
CGUAUGGAAGGGCCAUCGCUCAAAGGAUAAAAGGUACGCCGGGGAUAACAGGCUGAUCACUCCCAAGAGCUCACAUCGACGGAGUGGUUUGGCACCUCGAUGUCGGCUCGUCAUAUCCUGGGGCUGGAGAAGGUCCCAAGGGUCCGGCUGUUCGCCGGUUAAAGCGGUACGCGAGCUGGGUUUAGAACGUCGUGAGACAGUUCGGUCUCUAUCUCAUGUGGGCGGAGGAGAUUUGAGGAGAGCUCCCUACAGUACGAGAGGACCUAGGGGGACGGACCUCCGGUGUCCCAGUUGUCCUGCCAAGGGCAUCGCUGGGUAGCCGUGUCCGGAGAGGAUAAGCGCUGAAUGCAUCUAAGUGCCAAGCCUCCUCCAAGAUAAGAUCUCCCGGGCGCAAGCCCCUGAAGGCCCCUGGCAGACUACCAGGUUGAUAGGCCGCAGGUAUAAGGCCCGCAAGGGCUUCAGCCAAGCGGUACUAAUCGGCCGUGCGGCUUGACCAC